RNAcentral lists this ribosomal RNA (370 nucleotides) under uncultured organism. RNAcentral describes it as "bacterial SSU rRNA". It matches the Rfam family "Bacterial small subunit ribosomal RNA", at positions 526 to 896 of the family's 1533-position model. The record is from RNAcentral.
CGAACUGUGCGAACGUUAUUCGGAAUCACUGGGCUUAAAGGGUGCGUAGGCGGCUGCCUAAGUCAGGUGUGAAAUCUCUCGGCUCAACCGGGAAACUGCGCUUGAUACUGGGCGGCUUGAGUGAGGUAGGGGUGUGUGGAACUUCCGGUGGAGCGGUGAAAUGUGUAGAUAUCGGAAGGAACGCCAGCAGCGAAAGCGGCACACUGGGCCUUUUCUGACGCUGAGGCACGAAAGCCAGGGGAGCGAACGGGAUUGGAUACCCCGGUAGUCCUGGCCGUAAACACUGAACACUCGAGGAGGGGGGCUUCGGCCUUCUUUCUCUUAGCGAAAGCGUUAAGUGUUCCGCCUGGGGAGUAUGGUCGCAAGGCUG